Molecule: long non-coding RNA, 225 nt
Filed under: Capsicum annuum
Lineage: Eukaryota; Viridiplantae; Streptophyta; Magnoliopsida; Solanales; Solanaceae
Description: long non-coding RNA (CANN_LNC021029)
Source: RNAcentral
AUUGUAUUAUUUUGUUGUAGUUUUUAGCUCGUAGAUGAAUUUAAAGGUAGUAGAUGAAUGUCAGUCGGCUUUAAAGAAUUUUUUUAGGUAAAGGUUAAGUUUAAUUGUGUUAUUUUUAUAUCUAUGUUUUGAUAAAUUUUUUUUGUGUAAAGGUAAAGUUUUGUUGUAUUAUUUUGAUAUCUCUAUUGUCAUAUUAUUUUGUUAUAGUUUACAGGUAGUAGAUGA